GGGCCCGCACAAGCGGUGGAGCAUGUGGUUUAAUUCGAUGAUACGCGAGGAACCUUACCAGGGCUUAAAUGUAAGUUGCAUUAGUUAGAGAUAGCUAUUUCUUCGGACCACUUACAAGGUGCUGCAUGGUUGUCGUCAGCUCGUGCCGUGAGGUGUCAGGUUAAGUCCUAUAACGAGCGCAACCCCUAUCGUUAGUUGCCAGCAGUUCGGCUGGGCACUCUAUGGAAACUGCCCGUGAUAAGCGGGAGGAAGGUGUGGAUGACGUCAAGUCCUCAUGGCCCUUACGGGUUGGGCUACACACGUGCUACAAUGGUCGGUACAGAAAGCAGCCACUAUGCGAAUAGGAGCUAAUCUUUAAAACCGGUCUCAGUUCGGAUCGCAGUCUGCAACUCGACUGCGUGAAGCUGGAAUC
This 412-nucleotide ribosomal RNA is filed under the name uncultured bacterium. Its description in RNAcentral is "bacterial SSU rRNA". It matches the Rfam family "Bacterial small subunit ribosomal RNA", at positions 917 to 1333 of the family's 1533-position model. The record is from RNAcentral.